GACGAACGCUGGCGGCGUGCCUAAUACAUGCAAGUCGAACGCUUCUUUCCUCCCGAGUGCUUGCACUCAAUUGGAAAGAGGAGUGGCGGACGGGUGAGUAACACGUGGGUAACCUACCCAUCAGAGGGGGAUAACACUUGGAAACAGGUGCUAAUACCGCAUAACAGUUUAUGCCGCAUGGCAUAAGAGUGAAGGGCGCUUUCGGGUGUCGCUGAUGGAUGGACCCGCGGUGCAUUAGCUAGUUGGUGAGGUAACGGCUCACCAAGGCCACGAUGCAUAGCCGACCUGAGAGGGUGAUCGGCCACACUGGGACUGAGACACGGCCCAGACUCCUACGGGAGGCAGCAGUAGGGAAUCUUCGGCAAUGGUCGAAAGUCUGACCGAGCAACGCCGCGUGAGUGAAGAAGGUUUUCGGAUCGUAAAACUCUGUUGUUAGAGAAGAACAAGGACGUUAGUAACUGAACGUCCCCUGACGGUAUCUAACCAGAAAGCCACGGCUAACUACGUG
Molecule: ribosomal RNA, 508 nt
Filed under: uncultured bacterium
Lineage: Bacteria
Description: partial 16S ribosomal RNA
Rfam family: Bacterial small subunit ribosomal RNA
Source: RNAcentral